UACACGACCGUACCGCAAACCGACACUGGUGCGCGAGAUGAGUGUUCUAAGGCGCUUGAGAGAACUCAGGAGAAGGAACUCGGCAAAUUGACACCGUAACUUCGGAAGAAGGUGUGCCUUUAGUAGGUGAAGUCCCUCGCGGAUGGAGCCCAAUGAGGUUGCAAAAAAUCGGUGGCUGCGACUGUUUAUUAAAAACACAGUACUCUGCAAACACGAAAGUGGACGUAUAGGGUGUGACGCCUGCCCGGUGCUGGAAGAUUAAAUGAUGGGGUGCAAGCUCUUGAUUGAAGUCCCAGUAAACGGCGGCCGUAACUAUAACGGUCCUAAGGUAGCGAAAUUCCUUGUCGGGUAAGUUCCGACCUGCACGAAUGGCGUAACGAUGGCCACACUGUCUCCUCCUGAGACUCAGCGAAGUUGAAAUGUUUGUGAUGAUGCAAUCUCCCCGCGGAAAGACGGAAAGACCCCAUGAACCUUUACUGUAGCUUUGUAUUGGACUUUGAACAGAUCUGUGUAGGAUAGGUGGGAGGCUUUGAAGCAGGGUCGCUAGAUCUUGUGGAGCCAACGUUGAAAUACCACCCUGGUGUGUUUGAGGUUCUAACCUAGGCCCGUAAUCCGGGUUGGGGACAGUGCAUGGUAGGCAGUUUGACUGGGGCGGUCUCCUCCCAAAGUGUAACGGAGGGGUUCGAAGGUACGCUAGUUACGGCCGGACAUCGUGACGAUAGUGCAAUGGCAUAAGCGUGCUUAACUGCGAGACUGACAAGUCGAGCAGAUGCGAAAGCAGGACAUAGUGAUCCGGUGGUUCUGUAUGGAAGGGCCAUCGCUCAACGGAUAAAAGGUACUCUGGGGAUAACAGGCUGAUACCGCCCAAGAGUUCAUAUCGACGGCGGUGUUUGGCACCUCGAUGUCGGCUCAUCUCAUCCUGGGGCUGUAGCCGGUCCCAAGGGUAUGGCUGUUCGCCAUUUAAAGAGGUACGAGAGCUGGGUUUAAAACGUCGUGAGACAGUUUGGUCCCUAUCUUCCGUGGGCGCUGCAGAUUUGAGGAAGCCUGCUCCUAGUACGAGAGGACCGGAGUGGACGCACCUCUGGUGUAUCGGUUGUCACGCCAGUGGCAUUGCCGAGUAGCUAUGUGCGGAAGAGAUAACCGCUGAAAGCAUCUAAGCGGGAAACUCGUUUCAAGAUGAGAUCUGCCGGGGCCUUGAGCCCCCUGAAGAGUCGUUCAAGACCAGGACGUUGAUAGGUCGGGUGUGGAAGCGCAGUAAUGCGUUAAGCUAACCGAUACUAAUUGCUCGUGCGGCUUGACC
This 1300-nucleotide ribosomal RNA is filed under the name metagenome. Its description in RNAcentral is "bacterial LSU rRNA". It matches the Rfam family "Bacterial large subunit ribosomal RNA", at positions 1635 to 2925 of the family's 2925-position model. The record is from RNAcentral.